Long non-coding RNA from Suricata suricatta (meerkat), 384 nucleotides. RefSeq lists it as uncharacterized. The record is from RefSeq and is a predicted model, not a curated record. The transcript is spliced from 3 exons. Lineage: Eukaryota; Metazoa; Chordata; Mammalia; Carnivora; Herpestidae.
CCCAGGUGCCCUGAACAAUGCUUAUUUCUUAAAUGAGGAAAAAACAGAUCCAAAAAAUUAAAAUAACAAAUGAACCACGCUUACCUUUUUGGGCCAAACACUAGCUCCUACUUCAGGAAAGACGGUGGCUCCUCCUGCUGACACAUCACUCAUCUAGAAGAAUUCCCGACAGCACUAUGAGAAGCACUGGCAUAAUAAAGAUAUGCCUGCUCCCGUAACCUAGUCACCGUGCCGGGAGGAAGCCCGCACCGUAUGCAGGUACUUCGGCCAACGCCAGCCUCAACCUCAGCCUUCGAGAUGAGCCCAGUGCCAGUCAUCAACUGGCUACAGAUGCAGCGCGCAAGAACCCAGAGUGAAGCCCACUCAACCUUACAGCCGUGAGAG